CAGACUCUGGGCCGGGCAGGAGGGCGGGGCUCGAGGGCGGGGGCCAGUUUUGAUCGCUCAGCUCCGCGGUAACGUGGUCUUCGCCGCACCGAUUAGCUGGAGGAGCCAGCCCCAGGCGAGGAGUUCCGUUCUGCGGAGUCCCUCCCUCCCCACCCCGCGUCAUCUCGCUCCCGGAGCCUGGGCGCCGCUCCUCCCCAAGUCUCACCAGAAACUUCAAGGGGUAAUGGCUGUGUGUUCCUGCGGUAAUGAGGAGGCCACACAGCCCUCCACACUCCGCUAAACCAAUGUGUAAGGCACGUCCCGGUCUCCGGGGACAGACGGGGAAGGGACGCAGCUGGGACCUCUGCUGGCGAGUCCUCCUCGAGGGGAGUGGCGUCUCCCUGACCCUCUGCAGCUCAGCUUAGGCCUCGGUCGUCCUCUAAUUUCUUUAGAAAGAGAAAGAGAGGCACAGAACACGCAUCUCGCCGCCCACCGGACAAGCCGCGGAACUUGGGUCUUGCUUGAAAACUUUUCCAAAUAAAUCACUCUGGUGGCUUUGAGCUGUGAUGAAACGAGGCUGGAUGCUGCUCUUCUCCACAAGAGCGCUGCGGAUGUAAAGGAUGAGGAGCCGCCCUCCCCCACCUCUUUCUUUCUUUCCCACAUAAGUCAGCCAUAUAAAUCAUUCGCAUUGUUUAAGUGGCAAAAAGAAGUAACAUGGAGGGAAGGAAGGAAAAACCAGACUUUCUUCAUGAGAGCCUUGGAGGUGCAAUGCUUGUUACCCUCCUGCAGUGUGGUGCCUUCUCCAAGCCCUGGAUGGAAGAGGAAAGAGUUGGAAGUUGGGAGCCUCCUGAAAAGCUGCCUAUGAAGUGGUAAAAGCUGAAGAAACUGGUACCCUGACUGGAGUAGAUGGCCAAUGACCAGAAUUGAAUCACCUGGCAUCUGGCUUUUCUUGAUAUUAGUUCCGGAUUUAUGUGAAAGGGUCCUUUAACGUCUCCAAGAAUGGUUCCAAUAGAGUUGGCGGAGAUAACAGAUGUGUAUCACUUUGGUAGAGAUGCUCUUUAAAAGAAGAAAGCCAGCCAUAUUUGCUUAGGUCUAGGACCCCUCCUUGGUGGUUGAUGAAGGAGGGAGGAAGGUACAACCCCAAGCCGAAUAGGCCCCCCAUAGUUUCCUAGUAAUGCAGUAAACAAAUCUAUGAUGCUUGUUGAAUAAUCUUCCAAUAAUUGCAGUCAUUAAAAUCAUCACACAGUCUACCGUCACCUUCCUUCCUUUGACAUACCAGUCUUCCCUUUAAUUGUUAAUGCAUUUUUGGUUCACAUAAACAGAUCAAGGCAAGCUUAAAAUAUAUGGCCCAGAUAAGAUACAUGUGGCAAAAAAAAAUUACUUGUGUACCAAACGUUUGGACUGUAUUUAAGAGACUAGUGGUUUUCAGUUUUUCCAGCAGGCUUUACAGAGGCAAGGAAGAUUCGUACCUCCUACCCCUCUAAAUAGCAGUAACACCUCCGAGGUAGGAAAAUUUUUUUAAAAAGAUGAAAGUCUCAUUGGCCUAUUGAUUCUUCCUGGCUCUUUUAUUUGCAAGGAUUGGGUUGUAAAGAGGGAGGGCAUUAUAGAAC
Heterocephalus glaber (naked mole-rat) is the source of this 1589-nucleotide long non-coding RNA. NCBI's taxonomy places the organism in Eukaryota, Metazoa, Chordata, Mammalia, Rodentia, Bathyergidae. The record is from Ensembl.